Molecule: long non-coding RNA, 2291 nt
Organism: Dromaius novaehollandiae (emu)
Lineage: Eukaryota; Metazoa; Chordata; Aves; Casuariiformes; Dromaiidae
Exons: 3
Source: RefSeq, a predicted model, not a curated record
UCUCGCAGGCGGGGAGCGGAGGAGGCGGCUCUGCCCGGCGAGCCCCGGCGGCGGCUGCCGCUUCCUGGCAGCUGGCGAAGGGAGCAGGCAGCCCCGAGCGGGCGGGUUUCGGCCCGGGCCCUGCCCGGCUGCAGAUCUCUGGACCAUCCCUCAACUGCAGACAGGUCUUCCCAGUGCAAUCUGUGGAUGCUCUGAAGUGGAUUUUGAUGCCAGACAUCUGUGCUGCUCGCGUGCACCCAGGAAACGCUCCGUACACCACGGCAGAACUCAGAGGGGGAUUAUGCAUGCCUGAUGCUGAUGACUGGUAGCAACUCCUGAAGCCUUGAACGCUGCAUAGCAUCAGAGGCUGACACUGUCAGUGCUUUCUUCACUGCAGGGAGCUCUAUCAGAAGAAAAUAUGCUACAAGAAAAGAUUGAUGAAUGAAAUGCUGAAAAUCCUAAAAAGAAGUCUAACUUGGGGAAAAUGACUGUCCUGGUUUUCAAAGAAAUAUUGGGGGAAACACCUGAAAGUUGAUUCAUUUUUCAUCCCAAACUUUGAAUUAUAAGAAAAUCUAACUUUCUACAAGGAAGAGAAAGAAUAUGAAGGGUUAACACCCUAGAAAUUCAGACUGAAAUCCUAAUAAAUGAACUCAGCUGUCAGAGGUACAAACUGCUUCAAAGUGACUGUUUUUAAACAAGAGUAGAUAUUUGCUGCAUGCUUCCUGAAAUACAUCUAAAAAUGCAUCAAUAUGUAUCCUGUGCAUACAUUUACGAUUUAAUUAGAUCAAUGAAUUGAUACGUCAUGUGGCCAUGAGCCCCCAGGUAUUGUACACUAACGGAGACUCCUCAGAUUGCCCUUUCUCCAUUCACCCGCAUCCACCCAGCAGACAUGAGACGGGCCAGCUGCACAAGGAAACGCUGUGCUUCUCUUCUGGGUUAGAGGAAUAGCCUACUGACAGCUUUCACAAAGGAGCAUAAUGUAAAAUAACCAGAAGACAGCUCCUUUGUACGAGAUGUUGAUAAGGCACUUGAGCAUGCCCAGGAGUCCUGUCCAAGGGUGGGCAGGUUGUGCUCUGUCUCUCCGGGGCUUCGGGGUACCAGCCUGGGCUCAUCCAUGUCACCUGAUUUAAAAAUCCCUCUCUUAAGCUUUAGGAAAUCUUGACUUUCUCUAGAGAAGCUUCAUCCACGGUUAAUGUUUCCCAUUUAUUGUAGGACGGGAUGAAUCACGGCUUGGAAGUGUCCAUCCCUCUCCUUUGAGUACAGAGUUCACCUAGGUGAAAAACAUGAAGUAACUUAAACUCUAGACAGUGAAGCGAGGGUAGGUGGGUCUCAGCAUGGGCACAUCCCCGUUGCUCUCCACAUCAUCGCUAACAGCAGCACUCAGGCUCUCCAGGAGGGACCUGGGCAAUGGCUCGUACUCGCCUCAAGGCCUCCAGCAUGUCUGUGAACAAAAAGCCCUAUAUGAAGACUAAACUAAGUCACUUUAUUAGACGUUAGAAUCUGACCUGAUUUUCUGGCAUAUGUCUCCUUCGUCCAGCCCGUGUUAUGAGUCACAAACUAAGCCCGAAAGUUACUAAAACCGUUUCACGUACAAUCAAGUUGCCUGUUUUGCAGCAUACUAUGCUUUGGGGCUUGGCAAAGGGAAGCGUCUCAGUCGCAGGCAGCACAGGAAUUAUGCUGAGCUUUUCCCAGCUGGACUUCUUGUAAUCAUCGCAGGGAUAAAGAGUUCCUCGAGACUCACGAUCUCUGCCUGUCAGACUCUAAGCCUGUUCCCAGGUCUGUUGAGCUUGUCAGGGUUUUUAUUUACAAGUUUCAGCUAAAAAUCUGUCCUGUUAGACUAAGCCAGGCUGUUUCUACUUUUUCCUUAAUCUCCCGGCUGCCUCCCUCCACACGUUAAGGGACACUUAGUUUGUUUAAGGCCUGAGGCAGGCAUAAUUACAAAAUUUAGGCAGAAUCCUGAACUGACCCCAAAGGUCUUCUUACUCAGACAGAAAUCAUUUGUCAUAAUGAGCCUACUCGUAACCCGCUGACCCCCGGAGCUCAAUUAAUUUCACGCAGAAACGGUGUUUGCAGCCUCUGGACCCUGCUGCUGGAGGGAUUUGCACAGUGCAGCAGGAAGUCCUCCACUCAUCCAAGCUGAUGUGGGGAAACGGACUUAGACAUUUCUGUGGACAGAACAACGAACAGUGAUGGGGCAUUGCUCGUAAAGCAGGAUGGUAAAAUGCUGCAUUUUUGUGUUCCACUGUGUAUGAAUAAAUGUGUGUUCCUCAGAAUAAUAAUUAUAUAUGAAUAAAGGCAUAUAAGAGCUUGUA